This 503-nucleotide ribosomal RNA is filed under the name uncultured bacterium. RNAcentral describes it as "partial 16S ribosomal RNA". It matches the Rfam family "Bacterial small subunit ribosomal RNA", at positions 30 to 523 of the family's 1533-position model. The record is from RNAcentral.
AUUGAACGCUGGCGGCAGGCUUAACACAUGCAAGUCGAGCGGGGUGAUGGUGCUUGCACUAUCACUUAGCGGCGGACGGGUGAGUAAUGCUUAGGAAUCUGCCUAUUAGUGGGGGACAACAUCUCGAAAGGGAUGCUAAUACCACAUACGUCCUACGGGAGAAAGCAGGGGAUCACUUGUGACCUUGCGCUAAUAGAUGAGCCUAAGUCGGGUUAGCUAGUUGGUGGGGUAAAGGACUACCAAGGGGACGAUCUGUAGCGGGUCUGAGAGGAUGAUCCGCCACACGGGGACUGAGACACGGCCCAGACUGCGAAGGGAGGCAGCAGUGGGGAAUAUUGGAAAAUGGGGGGAACCCUGAUCCAGCCAUGCCGCGUGUGUGAAGAAGGCCUUAUGGUUGUAAAGCACUUUAAGCGAGGAGGAGGCUUACCUAGUUAAUACCUGGGAUAAGUGGACGUUACUCGCAGAAUAAGCACCGGCUAACUCUGUGCCAGCAGCAGCCGCCG